GGGCCCGUAGUCUAGCGGUUAGGAUGCCCGCCUUACAAGGCGCACCCGCAACAGCCUAAGCUCGCGGGUGACCCCGGGUUCGAAUCCCGGCGGGCCCA
Molecule: transfer RNA, 98 nt
Filed under: Pyrobaculum arsenaticum DSM 13514
Lineage: Archaea; Thermoproteati; Thermoproteota; Thermoprotei; Thermoproteales; Thermoproteaceae
Description: tRNA-Val
Rfam family: tRNA
About the family: Transfer RNA (tRNA) molecules are approximately 80 nucleotides in length. Their secondary structure includes four short double-helical elements and three loops (D, anti-codon, and T loops).
Source: RNAcentral